Molecule: small nucleolar RNA, 87 nt
Filed under: Colletotrichum salicis
Lineage: Eukaryota; Fungi; Ascomycota; Sordariomycetes; Glomerellales; Glomerellaceae
Description: Small nucleolar RNA snR73
Rfam family: Small nucleolar RNA snR73
Source: Rfam by way of RNAcentral
GUCUGCGUGAUGAUCAUAACAUAUCACGACGGUCUCCUGAGCCAUAUGCUUUGAUGAUACUGCCUUUGACAAGGCCCCUUACUGAUU